Molecule: ribosomal RNA, 401 nt
Filed under: uncultured bacterium
Lineage: Bacteria
Description: bacterial SSU rRNA
Rfam family: Bacterial small subunit ribosomal RNA
Source: RNAcentral
CAGGGCUUGACAUGGGGAGGACGCAGUCAGAGAUGGCUGUUCCCGCAAGGGCCUCCUGCACAGGUGCUGCAUGGCUGUCGUCAGCUCGUGUCGUGAGAUGUUGGGUUAAGUCCCGCAACGAGCGCAACCCUCGCCUUCAGUUGCCAGCACGUUUGGGUGGGCACUCUGAAGGAACUGCCGGUGACAAGCCGGAGGAAGGUGGGGAUGACGUCAAGUCCUCAUGGCCCUUAUGUCCUGGGCUACACACGUGCUACAAUGGCGGUGACAGUGGGAUGCCAGGUCGCGAGGCCGAGCCGAUCCCAAAAAGCCGUCUCAGUUCAGAUUGCACUCUGCAACUCGAGUGCAUGAAGGUGGAAUCGCUAGUAAUCGCGGAUCAGCUACACCGCGGUGAAUACGUUCCC